GACGAACGCUGGCGGCGUGCUUAACACAUGCAAGUCGAACGAUGAAGCCGGAGCUUGCUCCGGUGGAUUAGUGGCGAACGGGUGAGUAACACGUGAGCAAUCUGCCCUUGACUCUGGGAUAACUGCGGGAAACUGUAGCUAAUACCGGAUACGACACCUUGGGGCAUCCCAGGGUGUGGAAAGAAUUUCGGUCAAGGAUGAGCUCGCGGCCUAUCAGCUAGUUGGUGAGGUAAUGGCUCACCAAGGCGACGACGGGUAGCCGGCCUGAGAGGGUGACCGGCCACACUGGAACUGAGACACGGUCCAGACUCCUACGGGAGGCAGCAGUGGGGAAUAUUGCACAAUGGGCGAAAGCCUGAUGCAGCAACGCCGCGUGAGGGAAGAAGGCUUUCGGGUCGUAAACCUCUUUCAGUUAGGACGAAGCUUUAUUGGUUAAUAACCGAUUGGAGUGACGGUACUUUCAGAAGAAGCCCCGGCUAAC
RNAcentral lists this ribosomal RNA (481 nucleotides) under uncultured bacterium. RNAcentral's name for it is "partial 16S ribosomal RNA". It matches the Rfam family "Bacterial small subunit ribosomal RNA", at positions 28 to 501 of the family's 1533-position model. The record is from RNAcentral.